AAACUGAAAUCAAUAUUUCAUAGAUUUUAAGUCAGACUCUCCAUAAACGAGCCAUUGGUCCUUAGUAUUUCAUAAAUACUUAAGAACGGUUCUAAUAACCUUCCAAACCUUUAUGGAGAACAGAGAUGACAAUCAAGCUUUUAUUCUCUAUAAUGUAGGAAUGUCAUUUUCGAUUAAGAGAAUUUCAUUUAAACAAUAUAAAGAAUACUUUUACAGAAC
Molecule: long non-coding RNA, 219 nt
Filed under: Elaeis guineensis (African oil palm)
Lineage: Eukaryota; Viridiplantae; Streptophyta; Magnoliopsida; Arecales; Arecaceae
Description: long non-coding RNA (EGUI_LNC080506)
Source: RNAcentral